Molecule: ribosomal RNA, 490 nt
Filed under: uncultured bacterium
Lineage: Bacteria
Description: partial 16S ribosomal RNA
Rfam family: Bacterial small subunit ribosomal RNA
Source: RNAcentral
AUUGAACGCUGGCGGCAUGCUUUACACAUGCAAGUCGGACGGCAGCACAGAGAAGCUUGCUUCUUGGGUGGCGAGUGGCGCACGGGUGAGUAAUAUAUCGGAACGUACCGAGUAAUGGGGGAUAACUAAUCGAAAGAUUAGCUAAUACCGCAUAUUCUCUGAGGAGGAAAGCAGGGGACCUUCGGGCCUUGCGUUAUUCGAGCGGCCGAUAUCUGAUUAGCUAGUUGGUGGGGUAAAGGCCUACCAAGGCGACGAUCAGUAGCGGGUCUGAGAGGAUGAUCGGCCACACUGGGACUGAGACACGGCCCAGACUCCUACGGGAGGCAGCAGUGGGGAAUUUUGGACAAUGGGCGCAAGCCUGAUCCAGCCAUGCCGCGUGUCUGAAGAAGGCCUUCGGGUUGUAAAGGACUUUUGUCAGGGAAGAAAAGGCUGUUGCUAAUACCGACAGCUGAUGACGGUACCUGAAGAAUAAGCACCGGCUAACUACGUG